This 400-nucleotide ribosomal RNA is filed under the name uncultured bacterium. Its description in RNAcentral is "bacterial SSU rRNA". It matches the Rfam family "Bacterial small subunit ribosomal RNA", at positions 355 to 751 of the family's 1533-position model. The record is from RNAcentral.
UAGGGAAUAUUGCGCAAUGGACGAAAGUCUGACGCAGCAACUCCGCGUGAAGGAUGAAGGUCUUCGGAUUGUAAACUUCUUUUAUUUGGGAAGAAAAAGCUUUUGGUAACAGAAGACUUGACGGUACCUUAUGAAUAAGCUCCGGCUAAAUACGUGCCAGCAGCCGCGGUAAUACGUAUGGAGCGAGCGUUACUCGGAAUCACUGGGCGUAAAGAGUUCGUAGGCGGAUUCGUAAGUCAGAGGUGAAAUUUUGGGGCUUAACCCCGGAACUGCCUUUGAAACUGCGUAUCUUGAGUAUGUGAGAGGAAGAUGGAAUUCCUGGUGUAGCGGUGGAAUGCGUAGAUAUCAGGAAGAACACCGGUGGCGAAGGCGGUCUUCUGGCACAAUACUGACGCUGAGG